CUCUGUCUUGUCUUUACUGUAAGCACUUCAGGGCAGGAAUGAACUCUUCUAAAGUCUUGUUUACAUGAGAAAGUUUUGACCAGUUAUACCACUAUAAUUAUAUCAUUGUAGUUAACCUGAUAUACUGGUAUGACUCCAGAUGAGGACACCAUUUUUUUCUGAUUUGAGUGGCUUCGGGGAAUGGGGCGGCAGUAUAAAAACACCACCAUGCUGAACUACUCCACCAGCAGCAAAGCAACGAUGAACCAGACCCUAGGUCUU
RNAcentral lists this long non-coding RNA (261 nucleotides) under Gopherus agassizii (Agassiz's desert tortoise). RNAcentral describes it as "lncRNA (ENSGAGG00000021629.1)". Lineage: Eukaryota; Metazoa; Chordata; Testudines; Testudinidae. The record is from RNAcentral.